This 4905-nucleotide long non-coding RNA is filed under the name Podarcis lilfordi (Lilford's wall lizard). The record is from RNAcentral. Lineage: Eukaryota; Metazoa; Chordata; Lepidosauria; Squamata; Lacertidae.
ACCUCCUUGAGUGCUUUGGCGUGAAUUGCAGCAAUGCCUCUUGUUCUUCCAUUUGGAGGAUGAAGAUAUGCAAAUGUGAAGGCAUGUAGAAAACUUAUUUUUGCAUGGCAAGAAAGCAAACUACUGUACAAAAGUAAGAGUCACACCUGUUUCAGUUUUUGCCGCCUGCAGAAAUAAAUAUGGCCCUCCAGCCAUAGCUGUCAACCUUCCCUUUUUUUGCGGGAAAUUCCCUUAUUCCAGCGCUGCUUCCCAGUGCUAUCCCGGAUUGUUAGAUAUCCCGUAGACUGUCCCCGGGACAGGUGAGGCUGCAGAUCCGUUACUUUUGAGGCUGCUGACCCCUUAUUUUCAAAUCUGAAAGUUGACAGCUAGAAAGGUUCCCCAGCCCUGUAUUAGGAGGCCUGAGCAAACCAGUUUCCUUUCCUCCUCCCCCCCUUUAUUUUAAUUCUCUUUCAAUUUAAUUCCCUUUUAUUUUAAUGUCCCUUUCAGUUUUUCCUAUGUCACAUAAACACACAGGUUCUUGUCAGCCUGUGGCUUUAAAAAUAUUUUACAUUUUGCUUGCAAACAUAAUUUUGGCUCCCAUAAGAAUGUAGAAAACACUGCCUUAUUUUGAGGUGGCACAGUUUCACUUGACCACCUGAGUUUGCUAUUGGCAGGAACAAUGUGUAACGGGUGAGUUUUCUGCUAAAUGCCAAUUACUCACUCAUGCUUCACACAGGAGUUGGUAACAUAACCGGUUAUUAAAAAGGGAUAUAUGCAGCUGUCUGGCAGGGCUCCUAACACAGGCUUAUAACAUGGGUUCUUCUAGUUCAAGUGAUCAGAAGAGAAGAAAUGGAGUGUCAAUGCUGGUCUUAACUUAAGGAGAAAGUGCAAAGCUCAUUCGCUGUGCCAAAAUUCAAUACAGUGGUACCUCAGGUUACACACGCUUCAGGUUACAGACUCCGCUAACCCAAAAAUAAUACCUCGGGUUAAGAACUUUGCUUCAGGAUGAGAACAGAAAUCGUGCUCUGGCAGCGCGGCAGCAGCAGGAGGCCCCAUUAGCUAAAGUGGUGCUUCAGGUUAAGAACAGUUUCAGGUUAAGAACGGACCUCCGGAACGAAUUAAGUACUUAACCCGAGGUACCACUGUAUGUUUCCUGGGCAAGGAGGAAAAAAGGUCUAUUACAUUGACAACAAAGUUCCCUCUCAAAAUGGCACCAGAAUAGAUCAAAUCAUGUAGACUAGGGUUGCCAUAUUUCAAAAAGUGAAAAUUCACAAAAGUUUUUGAGCUUUUCUUUUGGGGCCGGGAGGGGGGGCAAAGUUAUUGAGCUUUGGAGGGUGGCCAUGACAAUUGUUUCAGGCCUCACACAUAUGGAAACAGGCACAUCAACACACACAGAUAAUACCCUCCAUAUAAUAACAAAAUAGCCUGGCCCAAAUCCAGUCAAAUCCCAUUGAAGUCAAUUAGUUCUGACUAAUUUAUGCCCCAUUAAUUUCAGUGGGACUUUUGCAUGUCUGCAUUGAAUUGGAGUACAGUGAGAUGGGUGGAAAGAGGGUGGUUGAUAUGUACUGGCUCUUUGUUUGACUCUUGUUGUGCCUAUCUACAACACAAAUGGAGGUACCAUAUGGAAUAUGCAGCCCCCCCCCCGUCGCAUGAGGGGCAUCGCAUUAAAUAGGCAGUGGGUUCUCAUUGGCCAGUGAUUCUUGUAACCACCUUGCCACCAUACGGUGGGGAACUUGUAUUGAUAUGUUAGUGCCUAAUAGUGAGUCAGGCUGUUGGUCUAUCUAGCUCAGUAUUGUCCACACAGCUCUACAAGUUUUCAGACUGCCCUACCAGAAGAUGCUAGAAGCAGAAUAUGGGAGUUUCUACAUCCAAAGCAAAUGCUCAAUCUCUGAGCUAUUGACCUUCCUCAAUGUCUGUAAUGACUCAGUAUUUUGAGUUAAUUAACUUCCAAUAUCCCCUUUAUCCAGCCUUGUGACUGGACUAAUUAUAAUUGUAUUAGAACUAAUGUCUUCCCUAUAACUUAGAGAUAGGGAAUAAGAUCUACCCUAGCGGGUCACAUUCUGGCAUGCACAACUCCAUAAGCGAUUUUGACAGGCAGGUGGGGUUGGAAGCAGCAGCAGGAAUAGAUCAGUUUGUGACUUAAGGGUUAGUUUUGUUAAUGUUAAAGCCAACCAGCCAAGAGGAAGACUGGUGGGGAUGUUGCUUAGCAACCAGUGGCAUGAACCUCACAUGGUCUGAUUGUCUAUGUAGGUUUGAGGGACUUUUCUUCUGUGCAUUAGUUGAAUGCCAUCCAGCUAUACACUAUACUGAGAAAUUCUGUAGUGCAGCUGAUCUCAGCAGAGUUGCUAUAAGUGCUGAGCAGCUGAUUUCUAAGUGACUACCCUAUGUUCUAAUGCAGGUGUAGGAGACCUUAGGCACUGCAGGUGUUGCUGCACUAAAACUCCCACCAUCCUUAGCCAAUGUCCAUGCUUAUUGGGGCUGAUGGAAGUUAUGGUUUAGCAACAUCUGGAUGGCCAAAGGUUCCAGUCAAAAUGUGGAGCCUGCUACCACAGUUAUUUGAUUGUUUGUUUUAUUGACUGCUUACAUGCCAAAAUCAUUUCUAAUCAUUUCAGAAACAUAAAAUCAAAUAUGAAAAUGUCCACACAUAAUUAAGACACACAAUAGAACAUUUCCUUCAAAACAUUAAACAUCCACAAUUAAAAUAUAAAACAAAUCCUUCAACAAUAGUAUGAUAGUUUGAUAAUUAAUAGUUGUAGCUUCCUAAUUUCUUGGGAAAGAAAAUGAAAUUAUUUAAUCAGUGUAUAUGUUGUUGGCUUUGAGUUAAGGAAUUUCACUGCAUAUAAUUUAUGAAUUAAUUGAAGGUAUUUGUUUUAUUAAUCAUGCUUGGAUUUGCCACGUUGAUGGAUAUCGUUUUCCUUCUUUCUCUUCAUAAGUAUAUAUAGCGUUGUAAAUAAAUAAAUAAGAAUAUAAAACAAGUCUGUUUCAAAACUACAACAAUGCCAUCCCCACAUGUGUUUAUUCUGCACAAAAUGUGAUAUUCAACUACACAUUACUGAGAAAAGACACUUUGAAAUUAGUGAACAUAGGUAAGUUAGGUUACUUGCAAUAUAGAACUUAGCUGCAUGCCACUGAAAGUGAGUGGGUUGCAGUCAACUAAGUUUUACUCAGAGUAAACCCAUUGAAAUUAUUGGACAGGAAAACGUCAUGAUCAUUAAUUCCAUUGGGUCUAUUAAGAGCAAAACUUAGUUGAACACAAUUCAGUGUUUAAAAGGUGCUUUGGAAUUACUAGACUUCCAGACAUUCUAUAUCUGAAGAAAAGAAAUAACUAUUGGGCUGGAUCCAGACUUUGUCAUAAUUUGAAUAGGUACGGCAAAAUCAAUAGGCUUAAUUCCCAUUGAUUUCACUAGGUCUACUCUGAGUAUGAUUAAAUCUAGAUUCACCCCCCCCUUUUAAAAACAAACGAAUAUGUUGUUAUGUGUUUAAUUAACAUACCUUGAUCAGCUUUAUAGAUCUCAGAUAGCAUGUGUUUUUUGGCUGGUCAGCUUUGAAAGGUAGUUUUAAUGGAAAGGAAGGUGUGCCAGCAGAGUCGCUAAAUUAAAUUUGGCAGGUGCUCCAUUCCAUCUAAAGAAGUUUGAUUCUUUAGGCAGCCUUAUGCUGUCUGUUGUUGAAAUUAAAUACUAAAUGUAAGCCAAUACUUGUUUAUUUUAUGUGAGAGAGGGCAAAGUAUUUCAUGGCACAGUGACAAUGUUUUCAGAGAUCUUUGCCAGAUCUCUGUAUAAACGUAAUUAAAUGAACUAAUUGGUUACCUGAAACUGUUCUUAGAAGAGCUGUACAUGCCUGAACAAACAAUUAUUGUGGCUUUCCUUACACAAGAAUGAUUCAGAAAAACAAUACUAAAAGAGGGAGAGAGAUGGGAAGACGCCAUCCAUCUUUAGAAAGCCCAGCUGUCCCAAGUUCUUCCUUCAACUCAUUAAAUAGAUGAUAGAUGAUAGAUAGAUAGAUAGAUAGAUAGAUAGAUAGAUAGAUGAUAGAUAGAUAGAUGAUAGAUAGAUGAUGAUAGAUAGAUAGAUGAUGAUAGAUAGAUAGAUAGAUAGAUAGAUAGAUGAUAGAUAGAUAUUGUCAAGGCUGCCUCAAGUCUCAGCUCACAAAAGACCAACGCCUAUGUCUUCUUAUAUACAAAAGUGUUUAUUGCAGUUCAUUGUUUGCUUGACAUCCUAGGCGCGCAGCCUUACGUCUAUUACGCUUAGACCGCUGAAGUCCCCUCUGAAUCCGUCCCUCCCCUGCACCAAUUUAAGAGGCUUGCGCUGCUCCACCUCUUUCUCUCCUUCCUUUUCCGCAGGGUCCUUCUGCCCGCUGGGGUUUCGCCCCUCCUGGAUUCCUCUGACGCGGAAUCAGACUGCUCUUCCCCCUCCUGCGGGCUUUGGGACCUGGCCCCUCCUCCGGGCUCCCUGUACUUCCGCGCGCCUCUACAUUUGAACUAGCGCGCGCGCCAAACCUCUAACUUUCCUUUUGACAGUUACACUACUCCCUUCACUGCUCCCCUCCCCUUCCGGGAGGGCGGCUUGCUCUGACCUCCCUCCUUUCUCUGCUGCCGGAGCUGCUUCCCCUGACACUCUGGUGGGGAGGCUGGUCCUGACGCCCAGCUGCCACUUUGGGAUCCUCCGCUGGCCCCCUGCUCCUGACACGUCCCCCUGGGGCUCCCUGGCCUUGACCACCGGCGCCCCUUCUGGGAAUCCUCUGAUUCGCUGGAAAGACUCAUGGAAUCUCUUGAGUCAUUGUCAUCCUCUUCCUCGCUGGCUUGGAAUUCAUCCCCAUCGCUCUCCAUCUCCUGCCUACCCUGUGCCUCUCUCCCUGAACCCCUGACAGAUAUGAUAUGAUAUUAUUAAGAAUUUUCAUAAUACAUCACAAUAAAAAAUGAACCAAUCU